This 74-nucleotide transfer RNA is filed under the name Trueperella pyogenes. Its description in RNAcentral is "tRNA-Arg(cct)". It matches the Rfam family "tRNA". Rfam says of the family: Transfer RNA (tRNA) molecules are approximately 80 nucleotides in length. The record is from RNAcentral. RNAcentral also lists the same sequence under 2 other names. Lineage: Bacteria; Bacillati; Actinomycetota; Actinomycetes; Actinomycetales; Actinomycetaceae.
GCCCUCGUAGCUCAGUGGAUAGAGCACGGCUCUCCUAAAGCCGGUGUCGUAGGUUCGAUUCCUAUCGAGGGCAC